Long non-coding RNA from Oncorhynchus keta (chum salmon), 4181 nucleotides. RefSeq lists it as uncharacterized. The record is from RefSeq and is a predicted model, not a curated record. The transcript is spliced from 5 exons. Lineage: Eukaryota; Metazoa; Chordata; Actinopteri; Salmoniformes; Salmonidae.
CACAACAUGCUGUCAGUCAACAACAACAACAACAACAACAACAACAACAACAACACCACAAAAACAUUAGUCUGAUGUCACCAUGUAGGUUUAGAAUGUAUGUAAACCAUCAACAUUUUUACCUGGCGUUCAAGAUUUCCUGUGGGCUGUUUUUAAGGCCAGGCACAACAGACUGAAAUUACAAUGUUGCAUAAAUGUUUCGAUUUGUUGGUAUUUUGGUCUAUUUAAUAUUAGUAUUUUCAAAAAGUUGUCAAACUUGAUGAGAAAAUUUAUAUUUUCUUCAGUUAAUCACGACCGUCAUUGACAUUUUAUACAAUUUUAACCACUUUAUAAUGGACAUACAUCGAGCCCAUUUCAUAGCUCACUACAUUCAGUUACACAUCAUUUUAACACAUACAUCAAGCCCCUUUCAUAGAGAAUGUUACAACCUGGACUGCAUUUAGUAAUUGACUUUGAAGAGAUGGUGACUGGGUCUGAAUAGGCUUUUGGAAGUCUUUUACUUGUCUUUAACGGCCAGAAAGCCAGACUCUCUCCACACGCCAACUCAUUUUACACAGCUUCAGAAGCAUGUUCAUUCACCAAAUGUAGUUUUAUCGUUAGAACACAAAUAUGGGGCGGCAGGGUGGCCUAGUGGUUAGAGCGGUGGGCUGGUAACCGGAAGGUUCCAAGUUCAAACCCCCGAGCUGACAAGGUACAAAUCUGUCGUUCUGCCCCUGAACAGGCAGUUAACUCACUGUCAUUGAAAAUAAGAAUUUGUUCUUAACUGACUUGCCUAGUUAAAUAACGGUAAAAUAAAUAAAAAAUAAAUUAAACUCAUGUUCCAUGAGCUGAAAUAAAAUAUCCCAGAAAUGUUCCAUACGCACAAAAAGCUUAUUUCUCUCACAAAUUUAGUUUUGUUAAUCCACCAACCUAACAGGUGUGGCAUAUUAAGAAGCUGAUUAAGGCCACUUUAUCAUUACAUAGAUGCACCUUAUGCUGGGGACAAUAAAAGGCCACUCUAAAAUGUGCAGUUUUGUCACACAACACAAUUCCACAGAUGUCUCAAGUUUUAACGGAGCGUGCAAUUGGCAUGCUGACCGCAGUAAUGUCCACUAGAGCUGUUGCCAGAGAAUUGAAUGUUAAUUCAAGCCUCUUCCAAUGUCGUUUUAGAGAAUUUUUGCAGUCCAACUGGCAUCACUACCGUAGACAACGUGUAACCACGACAACCCAGGACCUCCACAACCGUAGACCACGUGUAACCACGCCAACCCAGGACCUCCACAACCGUAGACCACGUGUAACCACGCCAACCCAGGACCUCCACAUCCGGCUUGUUCACCUGCGGGAUCGUCUGGGACCAGCCACCCGGACAGCUGAUGAUACUGUGGGUUUGAACAACCAAAGAUUUUCUGUACAAACUGUCAGAAACGGGAAGCUCAUCUGCUCGUCGUCCUCACCAGGGUCUUGACCCGACUGCAGUUCGGCGUUGUAACUGACUUCAGUGGGCAAAUGUUCACCUUCGAUGGCCACUGGCACGCUGGAGAAGUCUACUCUUCACGGAUGAAUCCCGGUUUCAACCGUACCAGGCAGUAUGGCAUCGUGGGCGAGCGUUUUGCUGAUGUCAACACUGUGAACAGAGUGCCCCGUGGUGGUGGUGGGGUUAUGGUAUGGGCAGGCAUAAGCUACGGACAACAAACACAGUUGCAUUUUAUCUAUAUUUUAUAUUUAUGGCAAUUUGAAUGCACAGAGAAACCGUGAUGAGAUCCUGAAGCCCAUCAUCGUGCCAUUCAUCCACUGUCAACACCUCAUGUUUCAGCAUGAUAAUGCACAGCACCUUGUCGCAAGGAUCUGGACACAAUCACUGGAAGCUGAAAAUGUCCCAGUUCUUCCAUGGCUCGCCAGACAUGUCACCCAUUGAGCAUGUUUGGGAUGCUCUGGAUCGAGGUGUAUGACAGCGUGUUCCAAUUCCUGCCAAUACCCAGCAACUUCUCACAGCCAUUGAAGAGGAGUGGGACAACAUUUCACAGGCCACAAUCAACAGCCUGAUCAACUCUAUGUGAAGGACAUGUGUCACCAUGUAUGAGGUAAAUGGUCACACCAGAUACUGACUGGUUUUCUGAUCCACGACCUUUUGUUUUUUACGGUACAGUGCAUUUGCUAAGUAUUCAGUCCCCUUGACCUUUUCCACAGUUUGUUACAUUACAGGCGUAUUCUAAAAUAGAUUAAAUUGUUUUUUCCCCUCAUCAAUCUACACACAAUACCCCAUAAUGACAUCACAAUACCCCAUAAUGACAUCACAAUACCCCAUAACGACAAGGCAAAAAAAACGUUUUUUUAGAAAUUCUUGGGUAUGACGCUACAAGCUUGGCACACCUGUAUUUGGGGAGUUUAUCCUAUUCUUCUCAGCAGAUCCUCUCAAGCUCUGUUAGAUUGGAUGGGGAGCGUUGCUGCACAGCUAUUUUCAGGUCUCUCCAGAUAUUUUCGAUCGGGUUAAAGUCCAUGCUCUGGCUGGGCCACUCACGGACAUUCAGAGACUUGUCCCGAAGCCACUCCUGCGUUGUGUUGGCUGUGUGCUUAGGGUCGUUGUCCUGUUGGAAGGUGAACAUUCACUCCAGUCUGAGGUCCUGAGUGCUCUGGAGCAGGUUUUCAACAAGUAUCUCUCUGUACUUUUCUCUGUUCAUCUUUCCCUCAAUCCUGACAAGUAUCCCAGUCUCUGCCGCUGAAAAACAUCCCCACAGCAUGAUGUUGCCACCACCAUGUUUCACCGUAGGGAUGGUGCCAGGUUUCCUCCAGAUGUGACGCUUGGCAUUCAGGCCAAAGAGUUCAAUCUUAGUUUCAUCAGAGCAGAGAGUCCUUUAGGUGCCUUUUGGCAAACUCCAAGUGGGCUGCCAUGUGCCUUUUACUAAGGAGUGGCCACUCUACCAAGCCUGAUUGGUGGAGUGCUGCCGAGAUAGUUGUCCUUCUGGAAGGUUCUCCCAUCUCAACAGAGAAACUCUGGGGCCCUGUCUGAGUGACCAUCGGGUUCUUGGUCACCUCCCUGACCAAGGCCCUUCUCCCCCGAUUGCUCAGUUUGGCCAGACGGCCAGCUCUAGGAAGAGUCUUGGUGGUUCCAAACUUCUUCCAUUUAAGAAUGAUGGAGGCCACUGUGUUCUUGGGGACCUUCAAUGCUGGAGAAAUGUUUUGGUACCCUUCCCCAGACAUGUCCAUCGACACAAUCCUGUCUCGGAGCUCUACGGAAAAUUCCUUCGACCACAUGGCUUGGUUUUUGCUCUGAUGUGCAAUGUCAACUGAUGGACCUUCUAUAGACAGGUGAGUGCCUUUCCAAAUCAUGUCCAACCAAUUGAAUUUACCCCCAGGUGGACUCCAAUCAAGUUGUAGAAACAUCUCAAGGAUGAUCAAUGGAAACAGGAUGCACCCAAGCUCAAUUUCGAGUCUCAUUGCAAAGGGUCUGAAUACUCAUGUAAAUAUGGUAUUUCUGUUUUUUAUUUUUAAUGAAUUAGCAAAAAUGUCUAAAAACCUGUUUUCGCUUUGUCAUUAUGUAGUAGAUUGAUGAGGAUUUUAUUUUUUAUUUCAUCCAUUUUAGAUUAAGGCUGUAACGUAACAAAAUGUGGAACAAGUCAAGGGGUUUGAAUACUUUGCACUGUAUCUGUGACCAACAGAUGUAUAUCUGUAUUCCCAGUCAAUGUAUUUCAAUCCCUUAUAGGAAGUGUAACUCAGUAAAAUCUUUGAUGUUGUGUUUAUAUUUUUGUUCAGUGUAUAUUUUACAGACUUACCAAGAGGGAAUUGUUGAUUUGUUGCACAUUGUUUAUUCUAGAUAACAUUUUAUGUAUAUGUCCUUAGUGUUUUACAGAUAGAAGUAGGAAAACAGUAUUUAUCUGUUUUGGACAAGUUAAAGUUGGACAAGUUAAUUUGAUUUAUUUUAGGCUGACUUCGUUCAGUGUCCAAAAAAAUGUAUUGUGUCGUAUGCAAAUACGCAUAUAUUUAAUUAGAUAUCGGCUCAUUUGAUAGGUGACAUUUUGUUUGAGCGGUAGAUGUAGUAGGUAUAGUAGAUGUAGUAGAUGUAGUAGGUGUAGUAGGUGUAGUAGGUGUAGUAGGUGUAGUAGGUGUAGUAGGUGUAGUAGGUAUAGUAGGUGUAGUAGAUGUAGUAGGUGUAGUAGAUGUAGUAGAUGUAGUAGGUGUAGUAGGUGUAGUAGGUAUAGUAG